This 440-nucleotide ribosomal RNA is filed under the name uncultured bacterium. RNAcentral describes it as "partial 16S ribosomal RNA". It matches the Rfam family "Bacterial small subunit ribosomal RNA", at positions 338 to 795 of the family's 1533-position model. The record is from RNAcentral.
CCUACGGGUGGCAGCAGUAGGGAAUAUUACUCAAUGGGGGAAACCCUGAAGCAGCAACGCCGCGUGGAGGAUGAAGGUUUUAGGAUUGUAAACUCCUUUUGUGAGAGAAGAUAAUGACGGUAUCUCACGAAUAAGCACCGGCUAACUCCGUGCCAGCAGCCGCGGUAAUACGGAGGGUGCAAGCGUUACUCGGAAUCACUGGGCGGAAAGAGUGCGCAGGCGGGCUUGUAAGUCAGAUGUGAAAUCCUGUGGCUUAACUACAGAACUGCAUUUGAAACUAUGAGUCUAGAGUGUGGGAGAGGUAGGUGGAAUUCUUGGUGUAGGGGUCAAAUCCGUAGAUAUCAAGAGGAAUACUCAUUGCGAAGGCGACCUACUGGAACAUUACUGACGCUCAUGCACGAAAGCGUGGGGAGCAAACAGGAUUAGAUACCCGAGUAGUC